AAGUCGUAACAAGGUUUCCGUAGGUGAACCUGCGGAAGGAUCAUUAAUGAAAUUCAAGGACGCUCUUUUUAGAGGUCCGACCAACUUCAUUUUCCAACACUGUGAAUCUACUACUUUUUUACACCCACUUUUAAAACACAAAAAGUCUAUAAGAAUGUGAAAGUCUCUUAAUUGAGCAUAAAUCAAUUAUAAAACUUUCGGCAACGGAUCUCUUGGCUCCC
RNAcentral lists this unclassified non-coding RNA (221 nucleotides) under air metagenome. RNAcentral's name for it is "partial contains small subunit ribosomal RNA, internal transcribed spacer 1, and 5.8S ribosomal RNA". The stretch from base 1 to 46 matches the Rfam family "Eukaryotic small subunit ribosomal RNA", at positions 1786 to 1831 of the family's 1831-position model. The record is from RNAcentral.